RNAcentral lists this ribosomal RNA (330 nucleotides) under uncultured Gammaproteobacteria bacterium. RNAcentral describes it as "bacterial SSU rRNA". It matches the Rfam family "Bacterial small subunit ribosomal RNA", at positions 370 to 717 of the family's 1533-position model. The record is from RNAcentral. Lineage: Bacteria; Pseudomonadati; Pseudomonadota; Gammaproteobacteria.
AAUGGGGGAAACCCUGAUGCAGCGAUGCCGCGUGAGUGAAGAAGGCCUUUGGGUUGUAAAGCUCUUUCGUCGGGGAAGAAAAUGACUGUACCCGAAUAAGAAGGUCCGGCUAACUUCGUGCCAGCAGCCGCGGUAAUACGAAGGGACCUAGCGUAGUUCGGAAUUACUGGGCUUAAAGAGUUCGUAGGUGGUUAAAAAAGUUGGUGGUGAAAUCCCAGAGCUUAACUCUGGAACUGCCAUCAAAACUUUUUAGCUAGAGUAUGAUAGAGGAAAGCAGAAUUUCUAGUGUAGCGGUGAAAUUCGUAGAUAUUAGAAAGAAUACCAAUUGCG